This 854-nucleotide ribosomal RNA is filed under the name Candidatus Nomurabacteria bacterium GW2011_GWB1_36_6. RNAcentral's name for it is "bacterial SSU rRNA". It matches the Rfam family "Bacterial small subunit ribosomal RNA", at positions 1 to 863 of the family's 1533-position model. Lineage: Bacteria; Candidatus Nomuraibacteriota. The record is from RNAcentral.
GUAGAGUUUGAUCCUAGCUCAGGAUGAACGCUGGCGGCGUGGAUAAGGCAUGCAAGUCGAACGGACUUUAUUUUUCCGAUGAUGAGAUUACAUCAAGUCAAAGGUCGUUUAAAGUUAGUGGCGAACGAGGUAGUAAUACAUAGGAACUUCCCCCUAAGUCGUGAACAACUCACCGAAAGGUGAGCUAAUACACGAUAGUCUCUCCGGAGUAAAGUUUUUCGCUUAGGGAAAGGCCUGUGAAGUAUCAGCUAGUUGGCGGUGUAAAGGACCACCAAGGCUAUGACGCUUAGGGGAGCUGAGAGGCUGACCCCCACCGAUGGGACUGAGACACGGCCCAUACACCUACGGGUGGCUGCAGUCGAGAAUCUUCCGCAAUGGACGAAAGUCUGACGGAGCGACGCCGCGUGAUUGAUGAAGCUCUUCGGAGUGUAAAGAUCUUUUAUGAGGGAAGAAGUUUAUUGACGGUACCUCAUGAAUAAGGGGCUCCUAAUCUCGUGCCAGCAGGAGCGGUAAUACGAGAGCCCCGAGCGUUAUCCGGAAUUAUUGGGCGUAAAGGGUGCGUAGGUGGCACUGUUAGUCGUUUGUCAAAUCCUUGGGCUUAACCUAAGAACCGCGAACGAAACGGCAGAGCUAGAGAGUGUGAGGGGUAUAGGGAACUAAUAGUGUAGGGGUGAAAUCCGUUGAUAUUAUUGGGAACACCAAAAGCGAAGGCACUAUACUAGCACAUAUCUGACACUCAAGCACGAAAGCGUGGGUAGCGAAUGGGAUUAGAUACCCCAGUAGUCCACGCCCUAAACGAUGAUCUCUAGUCUUUCGGAGUAUCGACCCUCUGAGAGACGUAGCUAACGCGUUAA